RNAcentral lists this ribosomal RNA (253 nucleotides) under uncultured bacterium. Its description in RNAcentral is "partial 16S ribosomal RNA". It matches the Rfam family "Bacterial small subunit ribosomal RNA", at positions 524 to 776 of the family's 1533-position model. The record is from RNAcentral.
UACAGAGGGUGCAAGCGUUAAUCGGAAUUACUGGGCGUAAAGGGCGCGUAGGUGGGGAAGUAAGUUAGAUGUGAAAUACCUGGGCUUAACCUGGGAAUUGCAUUUGAUACUGCUUUUCUAGAGUAAGGUAGAGGGUAGUGGAAUUUCUGGUGUAGCGGUGAAAUGCGUAGAUAUCAGAAGGAACAUCAGUGGCGAAAGCGGCUUCCUGGACCAGAACUGACGAUCAGGCACGAAAGCGUGGGGAGCAAACAGG